GAUGAAGAACGCAGCGAAAUGCGAUACGUAAUGUGAAUUGCAGAAUUCAGUGAAUCAUCGAAUCUUUGAACGCAUAUUGCGCUCUUUGGUAUUCCGAAGAGCAUGCUUGUUUGAGUAUCAGUAAACAUCUCAACCUCUUCUUGAUUUUUCAAAAGGAGGGUGGACUUGAGCUAUCCCAACAACCUUUACCGGUCGGCGGGCGGCUUGAAAUGCAGGUGCAGCUGGACUUUUAUCUGAGCUAAAAGCAUAUCUAUUUAGUCCUCGUCAAACAGGAUUAUUACUUUUGCUGCAGCUAACAUAAAGGAUAAUUGUCCUCUUUGCUGACUGAUGCAGGAUUUUACGACACUUUAUGUGUUGUUCAACUCGAUCUCAAAUCAAGUAAGACUACCCGCUGAACUUAAGCAUAUCAAUAAGCGGAGGA
Molecule: unclassified non-coding RNA, 421 nt
Filed under: soil metagenome
Description: partial contains 5.8S ribosomal RNA, internal transcribed spacer 2, and large subunit ribosomal RNA
Rfam family: 5.8S ribosomal RNA (bases 1-120)
Source: RNAcentral